RNAcentral lists this ribosomal RNA (469 nucleotides) under Ctenophora environmental sample. RNAcentral's name for it is "partial Bacterial large subunit ribosomal RNA". It matches the Rfam family "Bacterial large subunit ribosomal RNA", at positions 897 to 1363 of the family's 2925-position model. The record is from RNAcentral. Lineage: Eukaryota; Metazoa; Ctenophora.
CGGGGGUAGAGCACUGGAUGGGUAAUGGGGCCCCACAGGCUUACUGAUCCUAACCAAACUCCGAAUACCCGGGAGUACUAGAUGGCAGACACACUGCGGGUGCUAACGCCCGUAGUGAAAAGGGAAACAACCCUGACCGACAGUUAAGGCCCCUAAUUCAUGGCUAAGUGGGAAAGCAGGUGGGACGACCAAAACAACCAGGAGGUUGGCUUAGAAGCAGCCAUCCUUUAAAGAAAGCGUAACAGCUCACUGGUCAAGCGCUCCUGCGCGGAAAAUGUAACGGGGCUUAAGUGAUACACCGAAGCUGUGGAUUCAAUCUUAUGAUUGAGUGGUAGCGGAGCGUUCCGUAGGCCGAUGAAGGUGGACCCGCGAGGGCCGCUGGAGGUAUCGGAAGUGAGAAUGCUGACAUGAGUAGCGACAAAGAGGGUGAGAGACCCUCUCGCCGAAAGUCCAAGGGUUCCUGCUUAAA